UACAGAGGUCUCAAGCGUUGUUCGGAUUCAUUGGGCGUAAAGGGUGCGUAGGCGGCGCGGUAAGUCGGGUGUGAAAUCUCGGAGCUUAACUCCGAAACUGCAUUCGAUACUGCCGUGCUUGAGGACUGGAGAGGAGACUGGAAUUUACGGUGUAGCGGUGAAAUGCGUAGAUAUCAGGAGGAACACCGAUUGCGAAGGCAGCUCGCUGGGACGUUACUGACGCUGAGACGCGAAAGCGUGGGGAGCAAACAGG
RNAcentral lists this ribosomal RNA (253 nucleotides) under uncultured bacterium. RNAcentral's name for it is "partial 16S ribosomal RNA". It matches the Rfam family "Bacterial small subunit ribosomal RNA", at positions 524 to 776 of the family's 1533-position model. The record is from RNAcentral.